Molecule: ribosomal RNA, 253 nt
Filed under: uncultured bacterium
Lineage: Bacteria
Description: partial 16S ribosomal RNA
Rfam family: Bacterial small subunit ribosomal RNA
Source: RNAcentral
UACGUAGGUGGCGAGCGUUGUCCGGAUUUACUGGGCGUAAAGAGCGCGCAGGCGGUCGUUCAAGUCGCGUGUGAAAGCCCCCGGCUCAACUGGGGAGGGUCACGCGAUACUGAUCGACUCGAAGGCAGGAGAGGGAAGUGGAAUUCCCGGUGUAGUGGUGAAAUUCGUAGAUAUCGGGAGGAACACCAGUGGCGAAGGCGGCGAUCUGGGAAGAUACUGACGCUGAGGUGCGAAAGCGUGGGGAGCAAACAGG